Molecule: ribosomal RNA, 632 nt
Filed under: uncultured bacterium
Lineage: Bacteria
Description: bacterial SSU rRNA
Rfam family: Bacterial small subunit ribosomal RNA (bases 1-544)
Source: RNAcentral
CCUACGGGAGGCAGCAGUCGAGAAUCUUUCGCAAUGGGGGAAACCCUGACGAAGCGACGCCGCGUGUAGGAUGAAGGCCUUCGGGUUGUAAACUACUGUCAGCUGGGAAGAAAGGUUUUCAAUGAAUAGUUGAAAACUUUGACGGUACCAGCAGAGGAAGCCACGGCUAACUCUGUGCCAGCAGCCGCGGUAAUACAGAGGUGGCGAGCGUUGUUCGGAUUUAUUGGGCGUAAAGGGUCCGUAGGCGGUCUAGAAAGUUGGAUGUGAAAUCCUGCAGCUUAACUGCAGAACUGCAUUCAAAACUUCUGGACUCGAGUUUGAGAGGGGUAAAGGGAAUUCCCGGUGUAAGGGUGAAAUCUGCAGAUAUCGGGAAGAACACCAGUCGCGAAGGCGCUUUACUGGCUCACAACUGACGCUGAGGGACGAAAGCUAGGGGAGCGAACGGGAUUAGAUACCCCGGUAGUCCUAGCCGUAAACGAUGAUCACUAGGUGUUGGGAGGGUUAAACCUUUCAGUGCCGCAGCUAACGCAUUAAGUGAUCCGCCUGGGGGAGGUACGGUCGCGAGCGNGAACUUAAAUAGAAGUUAGUACGGCGUGAGACGUGCCGAACGGACGACCGACGAGGGAGGUAGG